CCUGACGUCAUCCAACAGGAAGGGUCAGCCCUAAGGGAGGAGACAGAAGCCUGGGCCAGGCCACACGAGUCCCUGGCCCGGGAGGAGGCCCUCGCUGCACUUGGGAAGCUCCUGUACCUCUUAGAUGGGAUGCUGGAUGGGCAGGUGAACAGUGGUAUAGCAGCCACUCCAGCCUCUGCUGCAGCAGCCACCCUGGAUGUGGCUAUUCGGAGAGGCCUGUCUCAUGGAGCCCAGAGGCUGCUGUGUGUGGCCCUGGGACAGCUGGACCGGCCUCCGGACCUCGCCCAUGACGGGUAGGACUCUCAGGUCUUGCAUCUGUCCAGCCAUGCAUGUAGACGGGCAGGUGAUGGACGUGUGCCUGGGCCCCAGGGUGACGGGUGGGUGGGGCACUGCGUGGUACUGAAUGGAGCCUUCCUCAGCUGGGGUUUGGGAGAAGGGCUGCUGGAGGCAAUGCCAGGUGGGUCUCUAGCACAGAGGCUCAGCAGUCACAGCACCCCUGCCCAUGGCCCCAUGAAUGUUCUUCCACCUUUGCCUCUGCGGUCUGGGCUCAGGAGGGUGAGCAGGGCCUUACACUUACGCACAUGUGUCCUGAAAGGAGGAGUCUGUGGCUGAACAUCAGGGGCAAGGAGGCGGCUGCCCUAUCCAUGUUCCAUGUCUCCACGCCACUGCCAGCGAUGACCGGUGGUUUCCUGAGCUGCAUCUUGGGCUUGGUGCUGCCCCUGGCCUACAGCUUCCAGCCUGACCUGGUGCUGGUGGCGCUGGGGCCUGGCCAUGGCCUGCAGGGCCGCCACGCUGCACUCCUGGCUGCAAUGCUUCGGGGGCUGGCAGGGGGCCGAGUCCUGGCCCUCCUGGAGGAGGUAAGCUGGGCAGGGUGGAGGUGCUGUGGGGUGGGACGAGGGGAAGGACCAGUGACGGCUUCCGUCUUCGCCCCUGGUCCAGGACUCCACGCCCCAGCUAGCAGGGAUCCUGGCCCGGG
Molecule: small RNA, 976 nt
Filed under: Pongo abelii (Sumatran orangutan)
Lineage: Eukaryota; Metazoa; Chordata; Mammalia; Primates; Hominidae
Description: retained intron
Source: RNAcentral